This 504-nucleotide ribosomal RNA is filed under the name uncultured Desulfobulbus sp. RNAcentral's name for it is "bacterial SSU rRNA". It matches the Rfam family "Bacterial small subunit ribosomal RNA", at positions 903 to 1382 of the family's 1533-position model. Lineage: Bacteria; Pseudomonadati; Thermodesulfobacteriota; Desulfobulbia; Desulfobulbales; Desulfobulbaceae. The record is from RNAcentral.
UUGCCAGCCCGCUCAGAAACUUAAAUGAAUUGACGGGGCCGCACAAGCGGUGGAGUAUGUGGUUUAAUCGAUGCAACGCGAAGAACCUUACCUGGUCUUGACAUCCCGGAGACCCUUAGGAAACUAGGGGGUGCUUCCAUCUGGAAGAAUCUGGAGACAGGUGCUGCAUGGCUGUCGUCAGCUCGUGUCGUGAGAUGUUGGGUUAAGUCCCGCAACGAGCGCAACCCUUGCCUUUAGUUGCCAGCAGUUCGGCUGGGCACUCUAAAGGGACUGCCGGUGUUAAACCGGAGGAAGGUGGGGAUGACGUCAAGUCCUCAUGGCCUUUAUGACCAGGGCUACACACGUACUACAAUGGCCGAUACAAAGGGCAGCGACACUGCGAGGUGAAGCCAAUCCCGUAAAAUCGGUCUCAGUCCGGAUUGGAGUCUGCAACUCGACUCCAUGAAGUUGGAAUCGCUAGUAAUCGUGGAUCAGCAUGCCACGGUGAAUACGUUCCCGGGCCUU